Schistocerca cancellata (South American locust) is the source of this 1349-nucleotide long non-coding RNA. RefSeq lists it as uncharacterized. Lineage: Eukaryota; Metazoa; Arthropoda; Insecta; Orthoptera; Acrididae. The transcript is spliced from 2 exons. The record is from RefSeq and is a predicted model, not a curated record.
GUCCCGCGGGGCAGCGCCAGCCGCUGCGGGAAGCCGAAGUGCGAGCGGAACUCGUCCAGGAAGAACUUGCUCUCGCCCUUGAGGGCGGCGAGGGUCGAGUGGUGCAGGUCCGAGUAGCUCGGCGCCUCCUUGCCGUACAGCGAGAAGUCUCGGGAGCUGCGCUUGAUGUCGUUCUCACCAACUGCCACUGCAAAAGACGAAGGGUACGGUCAGCACCAGUUAUCAACUGAUUCUAAUAGGGCAAGAUACAUGUUAUUGGCAUUCGGGAGGAAACAAUUCAGCCAUCUCAAUAACGGAAUGCCAGUUACUAGGAUAUGAACAUAAGGACAACGGAGCCUGAUCAGAGAAAUCUCCUAGCCAGCCAGAAAUCGACCACAGAUCUCUUCGCAUAGCGGUCUGGUCAAGAAUAUGCAUCGCCCAAGAGUAAAUUUUAAUGUGUUGGCCCCACUGGGCAGGAAACUGGAUUGGAUGCCCAUUACUGCAGAGUGUAAUGACGUAAGGACCAAACUUUUCGUGUUUUUUCUCGGUAUUUAGGGAAGAAAGUGGGACUAGCUGAAGCAUUCGGUUUAAUUUUGACAUCCAAGAACCAAAAAUGUCACUUUUCAAGCCAACCAAGAAUUUUGGCCACCCUACAGAUCACUAGGAAAAUUUCUCGAAGAAUUUGUUUUCACAUUCGUUGACUGUGAUAACUCACAACCAAACUGUCACGUUACAGCAUCACGUAGACCUUGGGAUAUGCUAUAGAUGAAUGUAUCACCACAAACCUACAUUCCAAAAAAAUUAUAUACAAAGUGUCAUACCCAACAUUUCAUAUAUUAUAUAGAGUGUAACCCGUAUAAUUGCAGGUAUUUUUAAGUGUAGCGGCUUAAUACAUACACAAAUCUGCGUAUUGUUUUUUUUCUCUCUGUGUCGAACUGUCCUCCUACAAACACAUCAUAAACUUUACGACCUGAUGUUCUCUGCAUGAUCGUAACUGCCCCACUAAGUAGAUUACAACUGUCAAUAUAGACCAACCGUUUUGUGUCGAUGCAACCACACUUCAACACAUGGCAAGCUGCCCAGGGGAUAAUAAGCAUUACUAUCUUGCUCUUGCCACACGUGAUUGAAGGUACUAACCGACCUAAAAACAUGCAGUUAGUUAAUAGCAAUGAUUACGUGUCAGCAAAUGAUGUAAAUACUGAUGUAAUAUUGUUCAGGUGCCGACCUCAGUUAGUAACAGAAAUAUCUACCUUUACACCCAUUAAACCCUGUAUAAUGUCAGUGCUCUGUUACCCUCUGUUUGCACAUUAUGGAGUGACAUGCCACAUCAUCAUUACAGUAUGCGUCGAAGCUGACAUGUGCGACUGGUA